GGAGCCGCCUCGAGAGCCGCUCGCACGCUGGCCGGCUGCGCCAGGCAGGCCUUGCCUCCCCCAGUGCCACCCGCUCUGCUGAACGCCUCGCCACGCUGAGGGCGCCGCCAUCUCGGGGCCAGCUCUGCAGGGCGGCUCCGCACGUCGGGCUUGGCUGCUCUCCCCCGGCACGCAGAGUUUGCCGAGCCCUUUGGCUCAGGAGCCCUUGGCAAGCUCCGGAAUGCAUUCCCCUGGGCAGCGGCACACGCAUCCAGGGCGCUGCCGUUGUGCCCCAUCCCGGGCGCUCCCCGCAGGCUGUGUGUGCCUGCGGGGCGCUCGAUGUGCGGCUGACACCGCCCUCAGACAGCAGGCAGCCGGAGCAAUCGCCGCUGAAGGGUUAGCAGGAGAACGCGCCACAGUCCAAGUCGAAGGCUGAAUUGAGAUACAGGAGUUCAUGCAGCAAGUACUUUGGGUGAGCCUCCUGAAGAAAUACACACCCCGCUAUAAACACGACAAAAAAGAGAGGCAUUUUCUCAAGAUGUUGCAAUGUCAUCUCUGUGCAAGAGCAGGAAAGCAAUGAUCUCACUUAUAUCUAUGGACCACUGUAUUUGUAAGAAACAGUAGUGCCUGCCCUAAUUGAGAUACAUCCUAUUUGGGCAGCCAGAUGCAACAAGAGACAUGGGAACAAACAGUAAACAAUGGUAAUUCACCUGAUUUUACCAGUAACAUCAAUGUCUUAGGCUUUCUUGAUUCACUGGCUGAAAAGCAGGAAACACAACCCUGCACCUGGUGGGAUUCAGCACUGGAGAAAUGCCUGUCUAAAGACUGGAGUUGGGCUUUCCUUUUAUAUAAAUUGAGUAAGUUUACAGGGAAUCUCUUCUUACAGGGAACACACAGAGAAUUCUGUUUCUUUGUCAAUCUCUGA
This 904-nucleotide long non-coding RNA is filed under the name Zonotrichia albicollis (white-throated sparrow). RNAcentral's name for it is "lncRNA (ENSZALG00000016659.1)". The record is from RNAcentral. Lineage: Eukaryota; Metazoa; Chordata; Aves; Passeriformes; Passerellidae.